GGCUGUUCGCCAUUUAAAGUGGUACGCGAGCUGGGUUUAGAACGUCGUGAGACAGUUCGGUCCCUAUCUGCCGUGGGCGCUGGAGAACUGAGGGGGGCUGCUCCUAGUACGAGAGGACCGGAGUGGACGCAUCACUGGUGUUCGGGUUGUCAUGCCAAUGGCACUGCCCGGUAGCUAAAUGCGGAAGAGAUAAGUGCUGAAAGCAUCUAAGCACGAAACUUGCCCCGAGAUGAGUUCUCCCUGACCCUUUAAGGGUCCUGAAGGAACGUUGAAGACGACGACGUUGAUAGGCCGGGUGUGUAAGCGCAGCGAUGCGUUGAGCUAACCGGUACUAAUGAACCGUGAGGCUUAACCUU
This 356-nucleotide ribosomal RNA is filed under the name Escherichia coli. Its description in RNAcentral is "partial 23S ribosomal RNA". It matches the Rfam family "Bacterial large subunit ribosomal RNA", at positions 2575 to 2925 of the family's 2925-position model. Lineage: Bacteria; Pseudomonadati; Pseudomonadota; Gammaproteobacteria; Enterobacterales; Enterobacteriaceae. The record is from RNAcentral. RNAcentral also lists the same sequence under 1 other name.